This 253-nucleotide ribosomal RNA is filed under the name uncultured bacterium. RNAcentral's name for it is "partial 16S ribosomal RNA". It matches the Rfam family "Bacterial small subunit ribosomal RNA", at positions 524 to 776 of the family's 1533-position model. The record is from RNAcentral.
UACGGAGGGUGCAAGCGUUAUCCGGAUUCACUGGGUUUAAAGGGUGCGUAGGUGGGUCUGUAAGUCAGUGGUGAAAUCUCCGGGCUUAACCCGGAAACUGCCGUUGAUACUAUCUGUCUUGAAUAUAGUGGAGGUGAGCGGAAUAUGUCAUGUAGCGGUGAAAUGCUUAGAUAUGACAUAGAACACCCAUUGCGAAGGCAGCUCGCUACACUAUCAUUGACACUGAGGCACGAAAGCGUGGGGAUCAAACAGG